Podarcis lilfordi (Lilford's wall lizard) is the source of this 3301-nucleotide non-coding RNA. Lineage: Eukaryota; Metazoa; Chordata; Lepidosauria; Squamata; Lacertidae. The record is from the annotation of a GenBank genome assembly.
GCUGCUGCUGCUGCUGCUGCUGUUGUGAUGAACCAGCCUAUAAUCUGUAAAUCAAUGCAAAAACUUUAUUUAAUGGUUUAGAAACUAAAUGGAUGCAAUCUAAUUAACUCUUCUAGCUGUGAAACGUAUUUAUGUGAAUUAAUUUUUAAUACUCGGUGCUGGGAGCAAGAGAACUGCAGUGGAGAACAGAUCUUCUGUGCUCUCCUUUAAGUACAACAGAGGGAGAUGGGAAUGAUGUAGAAGAUGGAAGGUAGAACCAGUUGGUAUUUAUUCUCUUGUUUUGGGUGUCAUUUUAAAGCACUGCAUUGUUACUGCAGAGUCUUGAAAUUCUUCGACUUGGUCCAUCACUUCUAAAGACACCCCCGUCGAUCUGUUUUGGAAUUUGGAAAGGGUUCACCAAUUAACAAUAUUUUUUUUAAAAGAAAACUGUCCCGUUGUGUUAAACUGACUUAAAAUCUCAUCUGAAUGUUGGAAACUGGACUCAGCUCAACCAACCCCCAAAAGAAAUUUCUGAAGCUCUAGUGGCUAGAUAAGCAAGUCCCCAAGCUUCCAAACCUUGAGGAGGUGGAGUUGCUGUGCACUCACAGAUCUUUCUUAACCAAUCUCAGGAGAAUCUCCAAAUGCAACUAGUACCAUUAAUAUGGGCAAAUAUCUUUACUACAGACUCUAACAGCUGUUUCUUGCCCUGUGAUUUCUUAACCUCUUCAGCUCAAACUGCUUAACCUCCAGUGGUGUGUGGUCAGUGGACUAGGGGGACUGGGUAAAUUAGAGCAUUAAAGCCUGGUGCCUCCUUCCCAAAGCUCGGGAUGCUUCUGCCCAACUGAGGGAGGGAGGUGUGAUGCUCUGACAAGGUCCAAGAGCCCUCCUGCCACCUUCCCAAAGCCCAGAAAGCUUCUGCCUGGCUUAGGGAGGGAGGCACAAUGCUCAUUCCCCCCCCCAUUGCCCUUGCAAGUUGGUGCCUCUAGUCCUAACUGUUCCCCUAUGAAAAUUUUCACCGCACGCCACUGUUAACCUCUUUAGCUCAUAACAAAACAUAAGAUAAUUCCUCUCAGACGCAUCGCUGAAUGCAAAUCGUAACAGUUUCCUUUCCUCCUGGGCUUAGCCACAGAUCUGUAGAAGCUUAACAAUUCCCCUUUCUUCUUUUCCUUACCUAUGUGUGAGCAGCAGUUGGUGUUCAGGACUCGGACUAAAAAUAGAGUAAGUUAAAAACCACUCGCUUUCCUCAUUGUAUCUCAUUUUCUAUUCUGAGCUAUAGAAGAACUCUGGGGGAAAUAACGUUCAACAUAUAUUGCUUCAGAACAUGAUGAGCUGUACAACUCAUAUUCUGUACCAAGUUUGGAGCCAUUGCUAGACUUUAAACAAUCUUCUUUUUUUUAACUUUGAAAAAUUUAUUUGAUUUCAUUGAUAUUUUUUUUAUUCUCCAACUUGAAGCAGCACAUGGGUCCCCUCCUAUUUUAUUCUCAAAACAACACUGUGAAGUAAUUAAACUUGAAGGAAUGGCUGACCUCAACUUUGCCCAAUUAGUUUUGCGGCUAAGAAUGUGAAGCCAGGCCUUUGUUUUAAAUCCACCCCUCAUGCUGACCUUAGCCCACCCCAUCAAACAAGGGCAACAACACCCUGAAAGAAUUACCAAGUUUUCAGGGGUUAUAGGCCACAGGAAGGCCCAGUCUACUUCUAUAGGAUUGGGACAAGUUCAGAAGUUUGGCAAGGCAUUGAUAAUGUCAUGGAACGGGUGUGGGGCCUACAGGCUUCAGAAAAUAAUUGAUACUUUGGGAAAAACAAUUUCCCGCCAUGCAUUUCUUCCAAACUUCAAAAUGGAACACAAAAUGGAACCCUGGAGUUCAGUAUCUUGAGGCCACUCUUCUGACACCAUAAUGCAGAAUGUGUAAGUCAAAAGGACACACGCUUGCAAUGAUAUAUGAAUAAGGUUAUAUUAUUGAUGUUUUCUUCUUCUUCAUACUUCUUUCAGUAAUUUGGGUGUGCAGGCCUCACCUUAGAAACCUCCUUAGCCUUAUCAAAACACUUUGUUUUAUUUGGCAGAAUUAUUCAGAUGUUUGGUUGAGGGCAAACCUCUGCAUUCAACAAAUUCUUGCUGCAGAUGACAUUUUGGUGGAAACUCUAUGUCUGUUGGCAAAUGUCAUUUGUAGAUGACAUGGUUGUGUACUUGGGAGCACAUGAAUAAUGCAUGAUGCACAGUAUUGGAAAAAGGGCAAUAGAUGAAUGAAAGUUGGUAAUUUAUUAUUUAUUUUAUCAAUGUGCUCUUACAAGGCAGCUUACAUAUCAUAAAAACAUAAUACAAUUCAGAAAGCAAACACAGACAAUUGAUCUGGCAACAAAGCACAAAAAUUCAUUUAAACACAUGAAGAACAUAGGCCAGUUAAAUAAAACAGCAAAUAGGAGUUGCUGAAGAUAAAAAGGAUUCUGAUUUAAGCCAGUAAAAUGCAAAAACCUAAAUCAAGAAAAAGUGGCCUGAAAUAGUUUUUUUUUAAAAAAGAAACUGGCUUACACUUUAGUCCAAUGCAUGUUUGCUUGGAAGCAAGGUUGUUUUUAUUCAGUUGGGCCUAUUCUUUGUGACUUUGUUUAGGAUUGCAGCUUUAAAGUGGGGAGGGAGUUCUAAUCUGUGGGUGACUACAAAAAACGCCCUCAUUCUCUCAUGCCUGCCAAAAUUGCAACCAUACAGUUUUUCAUUUUCUUUAUUACAUUGUAUAGGACCAUCUGGGGUGACGAACCUAUGACCAUUAGAUGUACAGCUUCAACUCCCAUCAUCCCUGGCCAUCAUCCUGUUGGCUGGGGUUGAUAGGAAUUCAAGUCCUAUAUCCUCUGGAGGGCCUUGAGUUAACCACCACUGAGGUAAUUUAUAGAGACGCUCUUGGAAUUAAAUCUAUCUGGAAUUGCUGGUGUUCAUCCCUGACAUGCUGAUUUCAGUCUAGAUUGAUUUUAGAUCCCACCAUCCACAGACGUGGGUGUGGUUACUGUAGGAGAUUGUGAAUGAUGGGAAGUACCCCCAACCCCCAUGAAGCACUCAGGAAUCAAACCUUGUUCCAAGAAGAGCUUUAUUCCUGUUGCAGUCUUGGGUGGUUCAUCAAGGUACAUAAUGCAGUCUUCUUACAAUACCAGCAUCCAUGUGUCGCAAGUAUGCCAGCUCAUACAGGAGACAUCACAUAGAGGGGAGAAGCCAGCAGCAGGAGUCAAUCAUACCUUUUUUAAAAAAAACCCUGACAGUUAAGUCCAGUCGCGAACGACUCUGGUGUUGUGGUGCUCAUCUCGCUUUACUGGCCGAGGGAGCCGACGUUUGUCCACA